Molecule: ribosomal RNA, 514 nt
Filed under: uncultured bacterium
Lineage: Bacteria
Description: partial 16S ribosomal RNA
Rfam family: Bacterial small subunit ribosomal RNA
Source: RNAcentral
GAUGAACGCUGGCGGCGUGCCUAAUACAUGCAAGUCGAGCGAAUGGAUUAAGAGCUUGCGCUUAUGAAGUUAGCGGCGGACGGGUGAGUAACACGUGGGUAACCUGCUCAUAAGACUGGGAUAACUCCGGGAAACCGGGGCUAAUACCGGAUAACAUUUUGAACCGCAUGGUGCGAAAUUGAAAGACGGCUUCGGCUGUCACUGAUGGAUGGCCCCGCGUCGCAUUAGCUAGUUGGUGAGGUAACGGCUCACCAAGGCAACGAUGCGUAGCCGACCUGAGAGGGUGAUCGGCGACACUGGGUCUGAGACACGGCCCAGACUCCUACGGGAGGCAGCAGUAGGGAAGCUUCCGCAAUGGACGAAAGUCUGACGGAGCAACGCCGCGUGAGUGAUGAAGGCUUUCGGGUCGUAAAACUCUGUUGUUAGGGAAGAACAAGUGCUAGUUGAAUAAGCUGGCACCUUGACGGUACCUAACCAGAAAGCCACGGCUAACUACGUGCCAGCCGCCGCGUAA